Molecule: ribosomal RNA, 253 nt
Filed under: uncultured bacterium
Lineage: Bacteria
Description: partial 16S ribosomal RNA
Rfam family: Bacterial small subunit ribosomal RNA
Source: RNAcentral
UACGGAGGGGGCUAGCGUUGUUCGGAAUUACUGGGCGUAAAGCGCACGUAGGCGGCUUUGUAAGUUAGAGGUGAAAGCCCGGGGCUCAACUCCGGAAUUGCCUUUAAGACUGCAUCGCUAGAAUUGUGGAGAGGUAAGUGGAAUUCCGAGUGUAGAGGUGAAAUUCGUAGAUAUUCGGAAGAACACCAGUGGCGAAGGCGACUUACUGGACACAUAUUGACGCUGAGGCUCGAAAGCAUGGGGAGCAAACAGG